UAGAGCGGCGCACGGGUGAGUAACGCGUACAUGACCUACCUCUAAGACUGGGAUAGCCCUGGGAAACUGGGAUUAAUACCGGAUGUGAUAAUAUGUAUAGAGAUGUAUAUUAUUAAAGAUGAGUCGCUUAGAGAUGGGUGUGCGUUUGAUUAGCUAGUUGGUAGGGUAACGGCCUACCAAGGCAACGAUCAAUAGGGGGCGUGAGAGCGUGGCCCCCCACACGGGUACUGAGACACGGACCCGACUCCUACGGGAGGCAGCAGUAAGGAAUAUUGGUCAAUGGACGAAAGUCUGAACCAGCCAUCCCGCGUGCAGGAUGACGGCCCUAUGGGUUGUAAACUGCUUUUGGCAGAGACGAAACGCCUUCAUUUAUGGGGGUCUGACGGUAUCUGCAGAAUAAGCACCGGCUAACUCCGUGCCAGCAGCCGCGGUAAUACGGAGGGUGCAAGCGUUAUCCGGAAUCACUGGGUUUAAAGGGUGCGUAGGCGGGGAAUUAAGUCAGUGGUGAAAGCCUGUCGCUUAACGAUAGAAUUGCCAUUGAUACUGAUUUUCUUGAAUUGGGUUGAGGUUAGCGGAAUGUGACAUGUAGCGGUGAAAUGCAUAGAUAUGUCAUGGAACACCAAUUGCGAAGGCAGCUAGCUGGGCCUUGAUUGACGCUGAGGCACGAAAGCGUGGGUAGCGAACAGGAUUAGAUACCCUGGUAGUCCACGCCCUAAACGAUGCUAACUCGAUGU
Molecule: ribosomal RNA, 734 nt
Filed under: uncultured Bacteroidota bacterium
Lineage: Bacteria; Pseudomonadati; Bacteroidota
Description: bacterial SSU rRNA
Rfam family: Bacterial small subunit ribosomal RNA
Source: RNAcentral